GCAAGUCGAGCGCCACGCAAGAGGAGCGGCAGACGGGUGAGUAACGCGUGGGAAUCUGCCCUUCACUACGGAACAACUGUUGGAAACGACAGCUAAUACCGUAUACGCCCUUCGGGGGAAAGAUUUAUCGGAGAUGGAUGGGCCCGCGUUGGAUUAGCUAGUUGGUGGGGUAAAGGCCUACCAAGGCGACGAUCCAUAGCUGGUCUGAGAGGAUGAUC
RNAcentral lists this ribosomal RNA (218 nucleotides) under uncultured bacterium. RNAcentral describes it as "partial 16S ribosomal RNA". It matches the Rfam family "Bacterial small subunit ribosomal RNA", at positions 57 to 305 of the family's 1533-position model. The record is from RNAcentral.